Molecule: ribosomal RNA, 253 nt
Filed under: uncultured bacterium
Lineage: Bacteria
Description: partial 16S ribosomal RNA
Rfam family: Bacterial small subunit ribosomal RNA
Source: RNAcentral
UACGGAGGGAGCUAGCGUUGUUCGGAAUUACUGGGCGUAAAGCGCACGUAGGCGGCUUUAUAAGUCAGGGGUGAAAUCCCGGGGCUCAACCUCGGAAUUGCCUUUGAUACUGUCUAUCUUGAGUCCGGGAGAGGUGAGUGGAAUUCCUAGUGUAGAGGUGAAAUUCGUAGAUAUUAGGAAGAACACCAGUGGCGAAGGCGGCUCACUGGUCCGGUACUGACGCUGAGGUGCGAAAGCGUGGGGAGCACACAGG